ACCUCAGUAGCUCAGUGGUAGAGCACCCGGAAGAGAAGGAAGGUCGUUGGGUUCGAACCCCACCUGAGGUA
RNAcentral lists this transfer RNA (71 nucleotides) under Phytophthora megakarya. It matches the Rfam family "tRNA". Rfam says of the family: Transfer RNA (tRNA) molecules are approximately 80 nucleotides in length. Their secondary structure includes four short double-helical elements and three loops (D, anti-codon, and T loops). The record is from Rfam by way of RNAcentral. Lineage: Eukaryota; Oomycota; Peronosporomycetes; Peronosporales; Peronosporaceae.